Molecule: ribosomal RNA, 1361 nt
Filed under: uncultured bacterium
Lineage: Bacteria
Description: bacterial SSU rRNA
Rfam family: Bacterial small subunit ribosomal RNA
Source: RNAcentral
AUUGAACGCUGGCGGCAGGCCUAACACAUGCAAGUCGAGCGGUAGCACAGAGAGCUUGCUCUCGGGUGACGAGCGGCGGACGGGUGAGUAAUGUCUGGGAAACUGCCUGAUGGAGGGGGAUAACUACUGGAAACGGUAGCUAAUACCGCAUAACGUCGCAAGACCAAAGUGGGGGACCUUCGGGCCUCAUGCCAUCAGAUGUGCCCAGAUGGGAUUAGCUAGUAGGUGGGGUAACGGCUCACCUAGGCGACGAUCCCUAGCUGGUCUGAGAGGAUGACCAGCCACACUGGAACUGAGACACGGUCCAGACUCCUACGGGAGGCAGCAGUGGGGAAUAUUGCACAAUGGGCGCAAGCCUGAUGCAGCCAUGCCGCGUGUGUGAAGAAGGCCUUCGGGUUGUAAAGCACUUUCAGCGGGGAGGAAGGCGGUGAGGUUAAUAACCUCAUCGAUUGACGUUACCCGCAGAAGAAGCACCGGCUAACUCCGUGCCAGCAGCCGCGGUAAUACGGAGGGUGCAAGCGUUAAUCGGAAUUACUGGGCGUAAAGCGCACGCAGGCGGUCUGUCAAGUCGGAUGUGAAAUCCCCGGGCUCAACCUGGGAACUGCAUUCGAAACUGGCAGGCUAGAGUCUUGUAGAGGGGGGUAGAAUUCCAGGUGUAGCGGUGAAAUGCGUAGAGAUCUGGAGGAAUACCGGUGGCGAAGGCGGCCCCCUGGACAAAGACUGACGCUCAGGUGCGAAAGCGUGGGGAGCAAACAGGAUUAGAUACCCUGGUAGUCCACGCCGUAAACGAUGUCGAUUUGGAGGUUGUGCCCUUGAGGCGUGGCUUCCGGAGCUAACGCGUUAAAUCGACCGCCUGGGGAGUACGGCCGCAAGGUUAAAACUCAAAUGAAUUGACGGGGGCCCGCACAAGCGGUGGAGCAUGUGGUUUAAUUCGAUGCAACGCGAAGAACCUUACCUGGUCUUGACAUCCACAGAACUUUCCAGAGAUGGAUUGGUGCCUUCGGGAACUGUGAGACAGGUGCUGCAUGGCUGUCGUCAGCUCGUGUUGUGAAAUGUUGGGUUAAGUCCCGCAACGAGCGCAACCCUUAUCCUUUGUUGCCAGCGGUCCGGCCGGGAACUCAAAGGAGACUGCCAGUGAUAAACUGGAGGAAGGUGGGGAUGACGUCAAGUCAUCAUGGCCCUUACGACCAGGGCUACACACGUGCUACAAUGGCAUAUACAAAGAGAAGCGACCUCGCGAGAGCAAGCGGACCUCAUAAAGUAUGUCGUAGUCCGGAUUGGAGUCUGCAACUCGACUCCAUGAAGUCGGAAUCGCUAGUAAUCGUAGAUCAGAAUGCUACGGUGAAUACGUUCCCGGGCCU